GGGGGAAUAGCUCAGUUGGUUAGAGCAGCGGAAUCAUAAUCCGCGGGUCGGGGGUUCGAGUCCCUUUUCCCCUACCA
This 77-nucleotide transfer RNA is filed under the name Planctomycetota bacterium. RNAcentral describes it as "Planctomycetes bacterium tRNA-Met". It matches the Rfam family "tRNA". Rfam says of the family: Transfer RNA (tRNA) molecules are approximately 80 nucleotides in length. Their secondary structure includes four short double-helical elements and three loops (D, anti-codon, and T loops). Lineage: Bacteria; Pseudomonadati; Planctomycetota. The record is from RNAcentral.